AAGUCGUAACAAGGUUUCCGUAGGUGAACCUGCGGAAGGAUCAUUAAUGAAAUGAUGAUUUUUUGGGGUUUUCCCUGAAAAAUAAUUCACCUUUUGUGCACCGUUAUAAGAUAUACUUUGGUUAGAGCUUUGAUUUCAUUUAAUGGAAUCAACUUCUUGCUGACUCUAUCCUGUUAAGGACAGUUGGCUAUGAAGCGGCCUACCAAGGGUUUUUAUCAAACACAUUUAAUUCAUCUGACCUAAAUCAUUAUAAUAAAAUCACAACUUUCAACAACGGAUCUCUUGGCUCUC
RNAcentral lists this unclassified non-coding RNA (291 nucleotides) under fungal sp. RNAcentral describes it as "partial internal transcribed spacer region". The stretch from base 1 to 46 matches the Rfam family "Eukaryotic small subunit ribosomal RNA", at positions 1786 to 1831 of the family's 1831-position model. Lineage: Eukaryota; Fungi. The record is from RNAcentral.